This is a non-coding RNA of Callithrix jacchus (white-tufted-ear marmoset), 430 nucleotides long. Lineage: Eukaryota; Metazoa; Chordata; Mammalia; Primates; Cebidae. The record is from Rfam.
UCUCUUUGACCCAUUAUUUCAGACUUAAAAACAAGCAUGUUUUCAAGCGGUGCUAUGAGCUGCCAAUGAUGUAUCACUACCAUAUCUCAUUAUUCUCCAGUAAAUGUGAUAAUAAUGUGAUCUGUUAACAUAAAAAAAGUUUGACUUCACAAAAGCAGCUGGAAAGGGACAACCACAAUAUGCAUAAAUCUAACUCCUAAUAUAUAUAACUCCUAAUAUAUGUCAAGAUACACACUGCUUGACAUAUAUUGUUAGAAGCACCUCACAUUUGUGGGUUCUCUUAAGCAAAAUACUUGCAUUAGGUCUCAGCUGGGGCUGUGCAUCAGGCGGUUUGGGAAAUACUCAGUUCUCAGCAGAAGCCAGAAUUUGAAUUCCCUCAUCUUUUAAGAAUCAUUUACCAGGUUUGGAGAGGAUUUAGGCAGCUCAGGUG